RNAcentral lists this ribosomal RNA (370 nucleotides) under Hydatigera taeniaeformis. Its description in RNAcentral is "partial 12S ribosomal RNA". The record is from RNAcentral. Lineage: Eukaryota; Metazoa; Platyhelminthes; Cestoda; Cyclophyllidea; Taeniidae.
UUAAGAUAUAUGUGGUACAGGAUUAGAUACCCCAUUAAUACUAUUAAUAAUAUGUCUUAGUUUUAUAACUAAAAUAAUUUGGCAGUGAGCGAUUCUUUUUAGGGGAAGGUGUGGUGUAAAGGAUGAUCCGCCUAAUAAUUUACUUUUAUUAUAUUGGUGUAUAUCUGGUUUAAUAUUAUUGCUGAAUGGCAGAAGUUGUGUAGUGUUAUUUAAGCCAAGUCUAUGUGCUGUUUAUAAAAGUAUUCAUGCGUUACAUUAAUAAGUAUUUAAUUGUAAUAUUAGAUGAUUUAGGACUUAAAAGUAAUGUUUAAUUAAUUAGUAAAUGUGAAAUAAGUUUAGCUCAGGUACACACCGCCCGUCACCCUCGGUU